UUUUGUAUAAUGGGUCAGCGACUUAUAUUCUGUAGCAAGGUUAACCGAAUAGGGGAGCCGAAGGGAAACCGAGUCUUAACUGGGCGUUAAGUUGCAGGGUAUAGACCCGAAACCCGGUGAUCUAGCCAUGGGCAGGUUGAAGGUUGGGUAACACUAACUGGAGGACCGAACCGACUAAUGUUGAAAAAUUAGCGGAUGACUUGUGGCUGGGGGUGAAAGGCCAAUCAAACCGGGAGAUAGCUGGUUCUCCCCGAAAGCUAUUUAGGUAGCGCCUCGUGAAUUCAUCUCCGGGGGUAGAGCACUGUUUCGGCAAGGGGGUCAUCCCGACUUACCAACCCGAUGCAAACUGCGAAUACCGGAGAAUGUUAUCACGGGAGACACACGGCGGGUGCUAACGUCCGUCGUGAAGAGGGAAACAACCCAGACCGCCAGCUAAGGUCCCAAAGUCAUGGUUAAGUGGGAAACGAUGUGGGAAGGCCCAGACAGCCAGGAUGUUGGCUUAGAAGCAGCCAUCAUUUAAAGAAAGCGUAAUAGCUCACUGGUCGAGUCGGCCUGCGCGGAAG
RNAcentral lists this ribosomal RNA (563 nucleotides) under Escherichia coli. RNAcentral describes it as "partial 23S ribosomal RNA". It matches the Rfam family "Bacterial large subunit ribosomal RNA", at positions 606 to 1169 of the family's 2925-position model. The record is from RNAcentral. Lineage: Bacteria; Pseudomonadati; Pseudomonadota; Gammaproteobacteria; Enterobacterales; Enterobacteriaceae.